CAAAGUAUUAUCAGGAAACAAAAAAGUUCUGACUAAAUUGAGAUAUAUUCAUAGAUGGGAAGAUGUAAUAUCAGAAAAACGUCAAUUCUCUCCAAAUUAAUCUCUAAAUUAAGUGCUAUGCCUAAUGAUUUCCCUUGGAACUUGACAAGCUUAACCCAAAAUUCGUGUGAAAAAGCAAAAAGCCCAGAAUAGUUGAGGCAACUUUAAAGAAAAAGAAUAAUGUGAGGAACAUACCCCCAUUGAUAUCAAGAACAAUUAUAAAGCCAUAGUUGCUCUCAAGUCUAGGAUAGUGCCUGAGACAGACAGUUCUCAAUGAAUAUUUGCUAGGUAGAUUGAUGAUGGAUGGAUGAAUGGACUCUAAUGCGUGGGGAACACGCAGAUAUGCAGGGUAACUCUGGAUCGUACCAGACCUUAUGUUACUUCUUGUCUGGGGACAGGAUUAACUCUCAAACCAGUGGGGUAAGGAGUGAGCUGAACCUGAAGAUGAGGGUGAUUCAGAGGGCAAGGACCAGGGAAGUUUGGCUCUGAGAAAGGGCAGUGCAGAGAGCUGACUAAUUUGUUUCCUUUGUCUACAGAUACUUUGGCACCCUUAAGCAAAUUCAUACAAUUUGAGUAUGAGGAUUUGGAAAUGAAAGUGGCAUUCUAUAGUUGAAAGAAGUUUUGUCAUCAGUGAUUUGGGUUCAAAUCCUGACUCUGAGUAGCAGUGUAACUCUGGGCAGCUCUAUCAAGAUUUUGGACAGAGUAUGUCAGAAUCAUGUCUAUAAGAUUCAGUGUGGACUAAUGCAAAGUGAGCCUGGACUGGAAGUCAGAAGAACUGGAUACAAGUUCUAAUGUUAUCUGAGAGCAGGCCUCUGUUAAUAGGUCUUGUUACCGUGGCAGAGACAACGGGAAAAUAUAGGCUAAUCAGAAGCAUUGUGCACAACAAUGAAACCUUGCAACUCUAUGUAUAUUGACGUGUGUGGGGGGGGGGGGGGCAUAUCAGGUUACUCAAGAUGGCUAAAACUGACUGAAUCAGUAACCUCUAAUCUGUAAAAAACAGCAGACUCCCUAUAAUUCCUUAAAAUAAAUGUGGGUUUGAGAGACUCUCCCUGAGAUAAAUAAUACCCUGACCAGACUUCACAGAUCUAACACUAUGCUGGUAAUUCUGUGUUGACAUAUCUUGAAGAAAUGUUCAUUAGGUCCGAGAAGCAAAGGCAGGGAAGAGGUCCCUGGAGUUUACUAGCUUGUGCCAGAUCAUCAGGUAAAGAUAGGAAAAUUAUUUGGCUGAAAAGAUUUUUGAAAAAGGGACAGUGAAAUGCUCUUGAGGUAAAUCCAGGUAAUGAAAAGAUCAGGAAAAAUUGACCCUGAAGAAAAAGAAUUAAGGCGAUAUGGCGACUUCUGGAAAAGAUAAAGCUACCAAAUACCUCUGUGUGGAGAUGGCUACCAAGAACAUAGGCAUUGAAUGGUGGCAUCUGAGUGAGUGGCCCACUUUGUUGGAGUUGCCCUCAGGUGAGGUAAGUUCAUGUCUUGUCUCUCUCCUUGAUCUUUAUAUAAUCCCCUGGCGCUUUACACUGACUCCACGACUUCCUAAUUGUGGCUUCUUGGCAAGUUCCUUAGCCUCUCUAAGCUAGCCUCAGUUUCCUCAUCUGUAAAGCACAGAUCUUUUAUCUGAUGUUUAAGGUUGUUUUAAGGAUCAAGUGAAGUAAUGUGUAAGAAAGUUUCACUGUCAGUUCCUUGAAAAGCUCUCCCAUGGUAAGGCGCUCUUAAGAUUGAUGGGCAGAGCAUAAUGUCGUUUCACUGCUAGCAUCUAGCAGCAAUAACACUAGCACUUUGAGUCCUGUUCUUACUUGUGAUCCUUAUUUUUAAUCGUUUGAAUUCUACCUAUUGAUGAAGAACAAAUGGAGCAAGCUGUGGGCAUGAGGAAGCCCUUUAUAAAUAGUUGUGAUGCUAAUAAUGCCCCAGUUCUUGCACAGGAUGGGUAUCCCAACAAGCCUCCCUAGUACAGAGGAUAAUUUCAGAAGCCCAAGGAGAAGCCUGAAUACUCCUCACAAAGAGGCAAGUGUGUAAGCAACCAGUUCCUUCUUGUUUUUCUUUAACAGUAUUAUUGAAGUAUAUUUCCCAUACCAUACAAUUCACCCAUUUGAAGCGUAAAAUUCAAUGAUUUGUAGUAUAUUUACAGAGUUGUGCCACCAUCAGCACAAUCAAUUUUAGAAAUUCCAAACAGAAAUUCUGUACCCAUUGGCAGCCACUCUUCAUUUCCCUCUGACGCACCCAGCCCUAGGCAAUGAUUAACCUAC
Equus quagga is the source of this 2276-nucleotide long non-coding RNA. RefSeq lists it as uncharacterized. The transcript is spliced from 3 exons. NCBI's taxonomy places the organism in Eukaryota, Metazoa, Chordata, Mammalia, Perissodactyla, Equidae. The record is from RefSeq and is a predicted model, not a curated record.